This is a long non-coding RNA of Dromaius novaehollandiae (emu), 2873 nucleotides long. RefSeq lists it as uncharacterized. NCBI's taxonomy places the organism in Eukaryota, Metazoa, Chordata, Aves, Casuariiformes, Dromaiidae. The record is from RefSeq and is a predicted model, not a curated record. The transcript is spliced from 4 exons.
GAGGGGCGCGCUCCCCGGCCCGCCUCAGAGCCGCUUUUGCGGCGGCCCCCGGUGCGGAGGGGAGCAGGCUCUGCUCCUGCAGGGCUGCCCUGUGACCACCAACAGCCCCCACGCUGUGUGCAACCAUGAACGGGAACCCUCGGACUGAAGGUUCAGCAUGAUGCAGUCCAUCCUGAAACCUUAAAUGCUGCAACAUUUACAUAUUUCCUGUGUUGAGAGAGGCUGCAAAUACCCAUGGCAUAGAUGAAAACAUGAAUCGGCCAACAUGUGGUGCUGCUUCCUCCCGUGCAAAUAGAAGGCGCUGCCAGCACCCUGUCACCAUCCACACCAGUACAACUCAGAACCUUGAAGCCCUGGACCAGUUUAAUUAUUGCAAGGCAGAAAGCUCAAAUAAAGUGUUUCUACAGCUGAGGGAGGAAAUUUCACAAUGCAGGUGAAAGCUCUGAUUAAGUCACAACCUCCACAUCAAAGCUGGCAAUUUGGAAUUCAAACCUGGAUCUAUGUUAAACUUCUGCUCUCUUUUCUACCACUGGAAUAGGAGGAAUAAUAUGUGGAAACAUAUUUGGCAGCCCAACAGAUUGUAUUCCAGUUCAAUGAUGGGUAUGAUUUCAUAGGAGCCAACUGCAUGAAGUACAGCAUAAUUGCUUCCCUGAAGACUCCAGAUCUUUGUGGAGAACAAGAAUACAGCACAUGCAACUCACAGUGCCAGUUUCACAGCCCGCCAUUAGACAACACACCUGAUUUUCAGCCGGUCAUUCUCUGAGUAAAGACGAAGGACAUGUUCCCUCUCCUGGAAGAGGUAGACUUGCAUGUCACUCAAAGCUUUUUGCAACUCCACGAUCUCUUCUUCUCGCUGACGCACUUCCCACUGCAAUUUGUGCUAUACAGAAAGAAUGGAGCAAUUGAAAUGACACUAAGCAUCAGGCAACACUGGCAAACAGACUGCAUGUGCCAAGGAAGACCCUGAGCCUGUAAUCAGUUUUAACAAUUGCCAGUUCAAGUGAAUUAUUUUAUACUUCUACAAAACAUUUGACCAGAUGAGGGCAGUAUUGGAAAAUUAUUAAAAAGGUUUCAACAGCAAGCUCAGUGCAUUGAGCACAGUGUCACUAUACAGUAUCAGUUCAAGUAGAGCAACUUAUGCCUGUAGUUUCUAGUCAUUGCACCAUCAGUCAGUGGAGUGCGGGUAUGAGGAGUCCAACUUAAACAAAAACCUAGCAAAGCUCCUAUAAUAACACUUAUUCUAAAAAAAAUUAUGGAAGAACAUAUAUUAAUACAUUUGCAUGGCUUAGUAGUAAGAGAUUUGGCUGGUUAUGAAUUUUCAUUAAUGAUUUUCUCCCUGUUUGGGAAAACUAAUACAGCCCUCUGAAGAGCAUUCCAUAUAGGACAAAUGGCAUUAUUUGGGAAGCCAUCCCCUCUUUUCCCAUAUGUUCAGUGAAAGCAUUUGGAAGCCUUGAAUAUACCAAGGACUUUCAGGCUCCUUCAGCGAUGGUAAGCACUUGAGGAGGCACACAAAAGAAAAAAAAAAAAAUCAUUCUUUCCCCAAAGGGUCAUUCACAAUUGCAAAGAGGACCACUAGACAGAGGCUAUAAGGCAUAUCAGAAGGCAAACACUAAGAUUUUCCUCUUCAUUAAAUUUGGUCAAUAGAGCACUCAUUAUUCACUGAGACAUAAGGGAGAAGUUUGACAUCUAAACUCAGGUUUCAGUUUAAACAACGAACAAUCCAGUAUGAAGACAUAACCCAAAUACAAUAAUUUCAAAGUGGAACAAUACCUUACAAUCAGGUUUUUCCUUUUGCUUUAUGACAGAAGACAAAAACAACUAGAACUCAGAACUAAAGCCUGAGAUUUAGCUAUUUCUUCUUAGCUUAGUUCUAUCAUGUUACUGGAAAAAAUUCAAUAUCUGUGUUGAAUUUUUAACUGAAGAAGAAUAUUAAUUCUUCACCAAUGAAGUUUAUGCAAGUAUACGUAGUCUAUCACCACUCAAAUACUCUUUUCCUAACCUGCUCAUCAUACGAUUCUUUGUAUCUCUCCAGCCUUUUUAUCAGAUCUUCAUGUUCUUCAUCAAAUUCAGCUAUCUUCUUGCGAUAGUAUUCCAACAGUUCCCGGGAUGGGCAGAGGAAAGCAAGGCGCUCAUUGAUUGAAGGAAGAGGAGUAAAGUCCCCCUGACUUGGAGAUGGAGAUCUAGUAUAUCUGGAAAAGAGAUGAGAAGUUGCCAACGUGGACAAAGACAUUGUCUACUGUCACGUAAACUCCAGACAAUAAAAUAUAACAACUUUUUAAAAUAGUUAAAAAUAUGACAACACAGAGAUUAUUUAAUGCAAAUUUUAAACACAGGUUAGUAUGUCUGGGCUCCAAAUAUGAACAGAAAAUCACAGCAUUUAUGAGAUAUAAAAGCUUUGAUAUAAAACAGUUUGCAGACUUACUAUACUGUGGAGAAAGGGCCUACUGCUGGAAAAGCAGGGAGGAAAAAAUGUUAGGGAAGAAAAGUCUCUUGGAUUAUUUGAAGAGGGUGAACUUGAAAGGAAGAGGAGAUAGAAAAGGAGGAGAGAUGAAUGAGAUAAAGUCCAUUGUCUGGCAACUGGAAGAAGCAGACACUGCAAGAUAAACAAGAAGAUACAAACUCUAACAAAGAGUCACUAUCUGUCUUAUACCCAAUGAAACCAGAAAAAGACAUUUUAUCACAGAACAGUUGAGGUUGGAAGGGACCUCUGAGACCUACUUAAGCAGGGCCACCUACAGUAUGUUGCACAGGACUGUUUCCAGACAACUUUUGAACAUCUCCAAGGAUGGAGACUUCACAAUCUCUCUGGGCAACCUGUUCCAGUGCUCUAUUACCCUCACAAUAAAGAAGUUUUUCCUUGUGUUCAGACAGAA